GUGUGAAGAAGGCCUUAUGGUUGUAAAGCACUUUAAGCGAGGAGGAGGCUACUUUAGAUAAUACCUAGAGAUAGUGGACGUUACUCGCAGAAUAAGCACCGGCUAACUCUGUGCCAGCAGCCGCGGUAAUACAGAGGGUGCAAGCGUUAAUCGGAUUUACUGGGCGUAAAGCGCGCGUAGGCGGCUAAUUAAGUCAAAUGUGAAAUCCCCGAGCUUAACUUGGGAAUUGCAUUCGAUACUGGUUAGCUAGAGUGUGGGAGAGGAUGGUAGAAUUCCAGGUGUAGCGGUGAAAUGCGUAGAGAUCUGGAGGAAUACCGAUGGCGAAGGCAGCCAUCUGGCCUAACACUGACGCUGAGGUGCGAAAGCAUGGGGAGCAAACAGGAUUAGAUACCCUGGUAGUCCAUGCCGUAAACGAUGUCUACUAGCCGUUGGGGCCUUUGAGGCUUUAGUGGCGCAGCUAACGCGAUAAGUAGACCGCCUGGGGAGUACGGUCGCAAGACUAAAACUCAAAUGAAUUGACGGGGGCCCGCACAAGCGGUGGAGCAUGUGGUUUAAUUCGAUGCAACGCGAAGAACCUUACCUGGCCUUGACAUAGUAAGAACUUUCCAGAGAUGGAUUGGUGCCUUCGGGAACUUACAUACAGGUGCUGCAUGGCUGUCGUCAGCUCGUGUCGUGAGAUGUUGGGUUAAGUCCCGCAACGAGCGCAACCCUUUUCCUUAUUUGCCAGCGAGUAAUGUCGGGAACUUUAAGGAUACUGCCAGUGACAAACUGGAGGAAGGCGGGGACGACGUCAAGUCAUCAUGGCCCUUACGGCCAGGGCUACACACGUGCUACAAUGGUCGGUACAAAGGGUUGCUACACAGCGAUGUGAUGCUAAUCUCAAAAAGCCGAUCGUAGUCCGGAUUGGAGUCUGCAAC
This 917-nucleotide ribosomal RNA is filed under the name Acinetobacter nosocomialis. Its description in RNAcentral is "bacterial SSU rRNA". It matches the Rfam family "Bacterial small subunit ribosomal RNA", at positions 401 to 1311 of the family's 1533-position model. Lineage: Bacteria; Pseudomonadati; Pseudomonadota; Gammaproteobacteria; Moraxellales; Moraxellaceae. The record is from RNAcentral.